This 305-nucleotide ribosomal RNA is filed under the name uncultured bacterium. Its description in RNAcentral is "bacterial SSU rRNA". It matches the Rfam family "Bacterial small subunit ribosomal RNA", at positions 335 to 657 of the family's 1533-position model. The record is from RNAcentral.
UUACCUACGGGAGGCAGCAGUGGGGAAUAUUGGGCAAUGGGGGAAACCCUGACCCAGCGACGCCGCGUGAGGGAAGAAGGUUUUCGGAUUGUAAACCUCUGUCCUUGGUGACGAUAAUGACGGUAGCCAAGGAGGAAGCCACGGCUAACUACGUGCCAGCAGCCGCGGUAAUACGUAGGUGGCGAGCGUUGUCCGGAAUUACUGGGUGUAAAGGGAGCGUAGACGGUGCAGCAAGUCUGAUGUGAAAGGUCGGGGCCCAACCCCGGGACUGCAUUGGAAACUGUUGAACUGGAGUACAGGAGAGG